AGCAACAGUUGACAUGGAUUAGACACUGAGAUUGCUUAACUACUGGAAAUAAUUAGCUUAUUUAUUUAUUACUAUUUCUGCCUACUGCUGUGGCUGUUUACCCUACUAUAGUUUGUUCCCCCUUGAUGCGUGACGUCACACAAGCAAGAUCCCGCCCCCAUUUUACUGCUGGCUGAGUAGCAUUGGUUUUACCUGUUAAGUUAUCAAUAUAACGUGCUAAGUCUUGAAUCUACGCCUGACAUAUGAAAGAAAAGGUGGCACAGUGCUUUGCUACAAAUUGCCAACACUACAACAACUUGAUGACAAGGUCUGGUUCUCAGCACAAGUGUUUUGGCCACUACUCAGGCAGAAGCCGAACACACUGACUGAGCAUGUGUUGCACGUCAGAGACUCCACUGAAAGAAACAAGUAUACAGACGGAGACCAGGACGGCUCCGGUGAUGGCGGCGGACAUCUUGGUGGUCGGGGCGCCGCUCAGCGUGACGGGGUUGCACCGGUAACAUCGUUUACACUGCAACCCUGGUUGCUGAAGCCAGCAAAGCUUGUGAUGGAAGGGAAACCUGCGGAGAAGAUUGUAGCAGACCGUUUCGUUGGCGCCACAUGUCACAUUAGCCGGGUUCAAGCAGACGCCAAACACGCUGACGGAGCAUUUGUUGCAGGUCAGCGACUCCACUGAAACAGAAGACACAGAAACAUAACAGUUUAAUUAAAAACUUAAAUAACA
Gambusia affinis (western mosquitofish) is the source of this 724-nucleotide long non-coding RNA. RefSeq lists it as uncharacterized. Lineage: Eukaryota; Metazoa; Chordata; Actinopteri; Cyprinodontiformes; Poeciliidae. The record is from RefSeq and is a predicted model, not a curated record. The transcript has 5 exons.